RNAcentral lists this ribosomal RNA (428 nucleotides) under uncultured marine bacterium. RNAcentral's name for it is "bacterial SSU rRNA". It matches the Rfam family "Bacterial small subunit ribosomal RNA", at positions 360 to 804 of the family's 1533-position model. The record is from RNAcentral.
AAUCUUGCGCAAUGGGGGAAACCCUGACGCAGCAACGCCGCGUGUGGGAUGGCGGCUUUCGGGUUGUAAACCACUUUCAGUGAUGACGAGAAUGACGGUAAUCACAGAAGAAGGUCCGGCCAACUACGCGCCAGCAGCCGCGGUAACACGUAGGGACCAAGCGUUGUCCGGAUUUAUUGGGCGUAAAGAGCUCGUAGGCGGUUCUGUAAGUCGGAUGUGAAAACUCAGGGCUCAACCCUGAGACGCCAUCCGAUACUGCAGUGACUAGAGUCCGGUAGAGGAAGAUGGAAUUCCUGGUGUAGCGGUGGAAUGCGCAGAUAUCAGGAGGAACACCAAUGGCGAAGGCAGUCUUCUGGGCCGGUACUGACGCUGAGGAGCGAAAGCAUGGGGAGCAAACAGGAUUAGAUACCCUGGUAGUCCAUGCCGUA